RNAcentral lists this long non-coding RNA (890 nucleotides) under Citrus maxima (pomelo). RNAcentral's name for it is "long non-coding RNA (CMAX_LNC002705)". Lineage: Eukaryota; Viridiplantae; Streptophyta; Magnoliopsida; Sapindales; Rutaceae. The record is from RNAcentral.
UAUAGUACAAAAUGGCAUCUCAUUCUGAUCUUUUCCAGAAAAAUUUCAGGAAAAUUUCAUUUCGAAGCUGUACUUGAUUUAAAAAUCCGGCCUUUGUUAGACGAUACUAUUCAUCAGGCUGCCAUGAGCAUUCAAGCUUUGUGGAUUAUUCAUUUAAGAGUUAUGGUGCCUCCGGUAGGGAGUCAGAGCAGAGUAGAAUAUCUCCUUCUGAUGGAAUGAUUCAGGUAAUUUGCUGUGCUGUUCUUUGGCAUAUAUUGAAUUCCUUGCUGUCUGUAAGAAUGUUGCUAGCAAUUGCUGAUUUUGGUAGUUUUAAUAAUGAGACAAAUUACUCUUCUUGUUUGAAGCAGGCACAAUUGCUUCUGUACAGAUUGGGACAUUACCGAACGAUAUACUUUUUGAGCAUAAAUCCCAUUGGUCAUUAACUCGAAGGGGCAUUUGCAGUAAGUACUUUCUGAGAUGCAGCCCAUGUUCCAGAGCUUCUUCAAGCAACAUGCAUUUGGAUUUUUAGAUAAAUAACCGUGGUUAGUAGCUGAAAGUUGCUUCCUCUGGACAUUAUUGUAGUGACAGGACUAGCUGACGAAGGAUAUCUAAUGAGAUAUAUGGAUCAUCUGGUUGGUUUUCUUUGGACUCAUGCACGAAUUUUGUUUCAUGCCAACAUGUGAGAAAGAUUUAUUUAUUUUCGACAAUAGUACAAUUUAAUGGCAUUUCACGUCAAUGUAUGGAAGCAGACGCAUCGUUUUACCUGAAUUGUGGCCGUCCCCAUAUUCACUUCUAUUGAAAUCAAAGUGAUCUCAUAUCUGGCAAUUUGUGUCUGCUUGUUGAACUUUUAGAGGAUUCAAUAACUUGACAUCUAGCAUUUUGAUAAAAUUAGGAAAAAGACUGUUAGGGCG